Molecule: ribosomal RNA, 429 nt
Filed under: Verrucomicrobiota bacterium
Lineage: Bacteria; Pseudomonadati; Verrucomicrobiota
Description: Verrucomicrobia bacterium partial 16S ribosomal RNA
Rfam family: Bacterial small subunit ribosomal RNA
Source: RNAcentral
UAGGGAAUCUUCGGCAAUGGGGGGAACCCUGACCGAGCAACGCCGCGUGAGUGAAGAAGGUUUUCGGAUCGUAAAGCUCUGUUGUUAAGGAAGAACGAGUGUGAGAAUGGAAAGUUCAUGCUGUGACGGUACUUAACCAGAAAGGGACGGCUAACUACGUGCCAGCAGCCGCGGUAAUACGUAGGUCCCGAGCGUUGUCCGGAUUUAUUGGGCGUAAAGUGAGCGCAGGCGGUUAGAAAAGUCUGAAGUGAAAGGCAGUGGCUCAACCAUUGUAGGCUUUGGAAACUGUUUAACUUGAGUGCAGAGGGGGAGAGUGGAAUUCCAUGUGUAGCGGUGAAAUGCGUAGAUAUAUGGAGGAACACCGGUGGCGAAAGCGGCUCUCUGGUCUGUAACUGACGCUGAGGCUCGAAAGCGUGGGGAGCGAACAGG